AUGUACCUGAAGGGCUGGAAUCUCAAUGUUGAAGGGAUGUAUAAGAAAAGUAGAAAUGGCUUAAUUACUCAGCUAGAUAAUAUUGAUAAAAGAUGUGAGCAAACUGGAUUCUCCAUUGCUGACUAUGAGUUAAGAGAUGCUUUACAACAUAACUUGAAUAAAUUGCUUCAAGAGGAAGAGAUUAAAUGGUACCAACCCUCUAAAGAGAGGGACAUUAGGGAAGGCGAUAAUAUCAGUAGGUAUCUUAUGAUUAAAGCUAGUGGUAGAAAGCGUAAGAGCAAAAAAAAUAGAUUUGUUUAG
This 300-nucleotide ribosomal RNA is filed under the name Triticum aestivum (bread wheat). RNAcentral's name for it is "partial small subunit ribosomal RNA". The record is from RNAcentral. Lineage: Eukaryota; Viridiplantae; Streptophyta; Magnoliopsida; Poales; Poaceae.